ACCACUCUAGGCGGUGGAUCACUCGGCUCGUGUGU
RNAcentral lists this ribosomal RNA (35 nucleotides) under Vignadula atrata. Its description in RNAcentral is "partial 5.8S rRNA". The record is from RNAcentral. Lineage: Eukaryota; Metazoa; Mollusca; Bivalvia; Mytilida; Modiolidae.